Nicotiana tabacum (common tobacco) is the source of this 399-nucleotide non-coding RNA. Lineage: Eukaryota; Viridiplantae; Streptophyta; Magnoliopsida; Solanales; Solanaceae. The record is from RefSeq and is a predicted model, not a curated record.
CAGAACCUAAAAACUAGGGAUUUCCUCUCAAACUCCUCCCAUCCAUCUAGCCAAUCAUAACAACAAUUUAGUCAUCCUUAAGAUAGAGAACACCAUGGUAGCUUCGGAAUCGUGAAUUCUUCGGUGUUUCACUUUUUGUAGGAAGACUCCGCCUUGAAGUAAUCUCGAAUUUAAAGUAAUUCUGGUCACAUAAGGAAAUCAUUCCUAAGGCUUUCGAGGUCUCGGAAACCGUAUAUAACUCCAUCGACAAGGUUCGGAUAGACAAAGCGGCGUGCCUCCUCAGUAGGACCCCCAGGAUCAGCGUUGGGUUUCGCACUCCACUUCUUCGGAGUUGCUGACUUUGAGUCCAUAGGUACUAUUACAGAUGUAUAUGUGUGGUUUUGGGCAUGUCGGGGGCUU